Molecule: ribosomal RNA, 447 nt
Filed under: uncultured bacterium
Lineage: Bacteria
Description: bacterial SSU rRNA
Rfam family: Bacterial small subunit ribosomal RNA
Source: RNAcentral
AACGAACGCUGGCGGCAGGCCUAACACAUGCAAGUCGAGCGCCUUAAGCACUUCGGUGUGGCGGGAGCGGCGGACGGGUUAGUAACGCGGUGGGAACGUGACCCGAAGGUACGGAAACAACUGCUGGAAACGGCAGCUAAUACCGUAUGUGACCCUCGGGGGAAAGAUUUAUCGCCUUUGGAUCGGCCCGCGUUGGAUUAGCUAGUUGGUGAGGUAACGGCUCACCAAGGCGACGAUCCAUAGCUGGUUUGAGAGGAUGAUCAGCAACACUGGGACUGAGACACGGCCCAGACUCCUACGGGAGGCAGCAGUGGGGAAUAUUGGACAAUGGGGCGCAAGCCUGAUCCAGCCAUGCCGCGUGAGUGAUGAAGGCCUUAGGGUUGUAAAGCUCUUUCGCCAGGGACGAUAAUGACGGUACCUGGAUAAGAAGCCCCGGCUAACUUCGUG